This 807-nucleotide ribosomal RNA is filed under the name uncultured bacterium. Its description in RNAcentral is "bacterial SSU rRNA". It matches the Rfam family "Bacterial small subunit ribosomal RNA", at positions 8 to 796 of the family's 1533-position model. The record is from RNAcentral.
AGAGUUUGAUCCUGGCUCAGAACGAACGCUGGCGGCGUGCCUAACACAUGCAAGUCGAGCGCGAAUGGAGCAAUCCUAGUAGAGCGGCGCACGGGUGCGUAACACGUGGAUAAUCUGCCUGGGUGUCUGGGAUAACCAGUCGAAAGAUUGGCUAAUACCGGAUAAGCCCCCGGGAGCUUCGGCUCUUGAGGGAAAAGGUGGCCUCUGUAUACAAGCUAUCACAUCCAGAUGAGUCCGCGGCCCAUCAGCUAGUUGGCGGGGUAAUGGCCCACCAAGGCAACGACGGGUAGCUGGUCUGAGAGGACGAUCAGCCACACUGGAACUGAGACACGGUCCAGACUCCUACGGGAGGCAGCAGUGGGGAAUUUUGCGCAAUGGGCGAAAGCCUGACGCAGCAACGCCGCGUGUGUGAUGAAGGUCUUCGGAUUGUAAAGCACUUUCGACCGGGACGAAAACCCAUUGGCUAACAUCCAAUGGCUUGACGGUACCGGGAGAAGAAGCACCGGCUAACUCUGUGCCAGCAGCCGCGGUAAUACAGAGGGUGCAAGCGUUGUUCGGAAUUAUUGGGCGUAAAGCGCGUGUAGGCGGCUUUGCAAGUCGGGGUGUGAAAGCCCUCAGCUCAACUGAGGAAGUGCGCCCGAAACUGCAGAGCUUGAGUGCCGGAGAGGGUGGCGGAAUUCCCCAAGUAGAGGUGAAAUUCGUAGAUAUGGGGAGGAACACCGGUGGCGAAGGCGGCCACCUGGACGGUAACUGACGCUGAGACGCGAAAGCGUGGGGAGCAAACAGGAUUAGAUACCCUAGUAGUCC